Molecule: ribosomal RNA, 431 nt
Filed under: uncultured bacterium
Lineage: Bacteria
Description: partial 16S ribosomal RNA
Rfam family: Bacterial small subunit ribosomal RNA
Source: RNAcentral
AACGAACGCUGGCGGCAGGCUUAACACAUGCAAGUCGAGCGCCCCGCAAGGGGAGCGGCAGACGGGUGAGUAACGCGUGGGAACGUACCUCUUGGUUCGGAACAACUCCGGGAAACUGGAGCUCAUACCGGAUAAGCCCUAACGGGGAAAGAUUUAUCGCCGAAAGAUCGGCCCGCGUCUGAUUAGCUAGUUGGUGAGGUAACGGCUCACCAAGGCGACGAUCAGUAGCUGGUCUGAGAGGAUGAUCAGCCACACUGGGACUGAGACACGGCCCAGACUCCUACGGGAGGCAGCAGUGGGGAAUAUUGGACAAUGGGCGCAAGCCUGAUCCAGCAAUGCCGCGUGAGUGAUGAAGGCCUUAGGGUUGUAAAGCUCUUUUGUCCGGGAAGAUAAUGACUGUACCGGAAGAAUAAGCCCCGGCUAACUUCGUG